Molecule: ribosomal RNA, 406 nt
Filed under: uncultured bacterium
Lineage: Bacteria
Description: partial 16S ribosomal RNA
Rfam family: Bacterial small subunit ribosomal RNA
Source: RNAcentral
AUUGAACGCUGGCGGCAGGCCUAACACAUGCAAGUCGAACGAGUGCCGGACGGGUGAGUAAUGUCUGGGAAACUGCCUGAUGGAGGGGGAUAACUACUGGAAACGGUAGCUAAUACCGCAUACCAUCAGAUGUGCCCAGAUGGGAUUAGCUAGUUGGUGGGGUACCGGCUCACCAAGGCGACGAUCCCUAGCUGGUCUGAGAGGAUGACCAGCCACACUGGAACGUAGACACGGUCCAGACUCCUACGGGAGGCAGCAGUGGGGAAUAUUGCACAAUGGGCGCGAGACUGAGGCAGCCAUGCCGCGUGUAUGAAGAAGGCCUUCGGGUUGUAAAGUACUUUCAGCGGGGAGGCGUUACCCGGAGAAGAAGCACCGGCUAACUCCGUGCCAGCAGCCGCGGUAAUAC